GGCGGCGUGCCUAAUACAUGCAAGUAGAACGCUGAAGGAAGGAGCUUGCUCUUUCUGGAUGAGUUGCGAACGGGUGAGUAACGCGUAGGUAACCUGCCUGGUAGCGGGGGAUAACUAUUGGAAACGAUAGCUAAUACCGCAUAAAAUGGAUUAUCGCAUGAUAAUUCAUUGAAAGGUGCAAAUGCAUCACUACCAGAUGGACCUGCGUUGUAUUAGCUAGUUGGUGGGGUAACGGCUCACCAAGGCGACGAUACAUAGCCGACCUGAGAGGGUGAUCGGCCACACUGGGACUGAGACACGGCCCAGACUCCUACGGGAGGCAGCAGUAGGGAAUCUUCGGCAAUGGACGGAAGUCUGACCGAGCAACGCCGCGUGAGUGAAGAAGGUUUUCGGAUCGUAAAGCUCUGUUGUAAGAGAAGAACGAGUGUGAGAGUGGAAAGUUCACACUGUGACGGU
This 456-nucleotide ribosomal RNA is filed under the name Streptococcus oralis SK304. RNAcentral's name for it is "bacterial SSU rRNA". It matches the Rfam family "Bacterial small subunit ribosomal RNA", at positions 38 to 476 of the family's 1533-position model. Lineage: Bacteria; Bacillati; Bacillota; Bacilli; Lactobacillales; Streptococcaceae. The record is from RNAcentral.